CUAAUACAUGCAAGUCGAGCGGACCGACGGGAGCUUGCUCCCUUAGGUCAGCGGCGGACGGGUGAGUAACACGUGGGUAACCUGCCUGUAAGACUGGGAUAACUCCGGGAAACCGGGGCUAAUACCGGAUGCUUGAUUGAACCGCAUGGUUCAAUCAUAAAAGGUGGCUUUUAGCUACCACUUGCAGAUGGACCCGCGGCGCAUUAGCUAGUUGGUGAGGUAACGGCUCACCAAGGCGACGAUGCGUAGCCGACCUGAGAGGGUGAUCGGCCACACUGGGACUGAGACACGGCCCAGACUCCUACGGGAGGCAGCAGUAGGGAAUCCUCCGCAAUGGACGAAAGUCUGACGGAGCAACGCCGCGUGAGUGAUGAAGGUUUUCGGAUCGUAAAACUCUGUUGUUAGGGAAGAACAAGUACCGUUCGAAUAGGGCGGUACCUUGACGGUACCUAACCAGAAAGCCACGGCUAACUACGUGCCAGCAGCCGCGGUAAUACGUAGGUGGCAAGCGUUGUCCGGAAUUAUUGGGCGUAAAGCGCGCGCAGGCGGUUUCUUAAGUCUGAUGUGAAAGCCCCCGGCUCAACCGGGGAGGGUCAUUGGAAACUGGGGAACUUGAGUGCAGAAGAGGAGAGUGGAAUUCCACGUGUAGCGGUGAAAUGCGUAGAGAUGUGGAGGAACACCAGUGGCGAAGGCGACUCUCUGGUCUGUAACUGACGCUGAGGCGCGAAAGCGUGGGGAGCGAACAGGAUUAGAU
This 754-nucleotide ribosomal RNA is filed under the name uncultured Bacilli bacterium. Its description in RNAcentral is "bacterial SSU rRNA". It matches the Rfam family "Bacterial small subunit ribosomal RNA", at positions 48 to 783 of the family's 1533-position model. Lineage: Bacteria; Bacillati; Bacillota; Bacilli. The record is from RNAcentral.